This 793-nucleotide ribosomal RNA is filed under the name uncultured bacterium. Its description in RNAcentral is "bacterial SSU rRNA". It matches the Rfam family "Bacterial small subunit ribosomal RNA", at positions 8 to 796 of the family's 1533-position model. The record is from RNAcentral.
AGAGUUUGAUCAUGGCUCAGAUUGAACGCUGGCGGAAUGCUUUACACAUGCAAGUCGAACGGCAGCACGGACUUCGGUCUGGUGGCGAGUGGCGAACGGGUGAGUAAUAUAUCGGAACGUAUCCAAUAAUGGGGGAUAACUAAUCGAAAGGUAGGCUAAUACCGCAUACGCCCUACGGAGGAAAGCUGGGGACCUUCGGGCCUGGCGUUAAUGGAGCGGCCGAUAUCUGAUUAGCUAGUUGGUGAGGUAAAGGCUCACCAAGGCGACGAUCAGUAGCUGGUCUGAGAGGACGACCAGCCACACUGGAACUGAGACACGGUCCAGACUCCUACGGGAGGCAGCAGUGGGGAAUUUUGGACAAUGGGCGAAAGCCUGAUCCAGCCAUUCCGCGUGAGUGAAGAAGGCCUUCGGGUUGUAAAGCUCUUUCGCAAGGGAAGAAAGAUUACUCUCUAACAUAGAGUGAUUAUGACGGUACCUUGAUAAGAAGCACCGGCUAACUACGUGCCAGCAGCCGCGGUAAUACGUAGGGUGCGAGCGUUAAUCGGAAUUACUGGGCGUAAAGCGUGCGCAGGCGGUUUUGUAAGUCAGAUGUGAAAUCCCCGAGCUCAACUUGGGAACUGCGUUUGAAACUACAAGACUAGAAUAUGUCAGAGGGGGGUAGAAUUCCACGUGUAGCAGUGAAAUGCGUAGAGAUGUGGAGGAGUACCAAUGGCGAAGGCAGCCCCCUGGGAUAAUAUUGACGCUCAUGCACGAAAGCGUGGGGAGCAAACAGGAUUAGAUACCCCGGUAGUCC